UCAAUACCCAGCACACACAUGGCAACUCAGUUGUCUGUUACUUCAGUUCCAAGAGAUCUGAUGAUAUCUUCACACUAAUGCACAUAAAGUUAAAUAAAUUAUAAAAAAAAAAAUUCAAUAAAUGCAUUGGCCGGAAGCAAUACAAUGCUAAUCUGUCAUUUUUCUAGCGUGUGAACAGUAACACUGGCGUCACAAAGCCUUGUUCUCUGAGGGUGGAUGGUUGGGGUCAGAUCCAGGUCCUUGCACGUGCUAGGCACAAACUCCACGAUUGAACUUACCUCUCCAGCUGUGAAAGUUUGUGCCAGAAUGUAAGCAUAUUUUGCACAGACUGUUGUAGUGUGAAGACAAAUCCAGGGCCGGGCGGUGGUGGCGCACGCCUUUAAUCCCAGCACUCGGGAGGCAGAGGCAAGAAGAUCUCUGUGAGUUCGACGAGGCCAGCCUGGUCUACAGAGUGAGUUCCAGGACAGACUCUAAAGCUACACAGAGAAACCCUGUCUCGAAAAACCAAAAAAAAAAAAAAAGACAGAUCCAGAGCCUAGGAAGGAUUCUGAGCACCUAGCCCAUCUUAUCCAGGCCUCUGAUGACCGACUCACUCUCAACAUCAUUACAGGCCAGCAACAGCUGCCUUCUGAAGGAUCUGUUUAAGUGAAAUAUAAUCCACCCACCACACAGUUCGCCCAUUUAAAGCCCAUUCAGUAGUCCAGGGUAUUUAUAGUUAUGUAAUCGUCACUAGGGUUAAUUUUAUCACUCCUAAAAAACCCCAGGCCCACUAGUAGCCACUUCUUAUUUAUUUCCUCCAGUUCCCCAAACCCCUGAUAACCACUCAUUUGUUUUUUUUCAUAGAAAUGAAACAUUGUAUGACUGGGUUGGCAUGAUGCUUUAAAGAUUCACCUUGUUCUAACAUGUGUCCUGUGUCAUUGUUCCUUUUUAUUGCUGAAUACUAUUCCAUUGUGUGGACAUACCACAUUUCACAUUGUGGAACAUUGGAGUUAUUCUAUUUCUUAUACUUCCAAACUUUGUUGUUUACCAGACUCACCUCCAGUAUUUCAAAAUUGAUGCCCAGGCUGAAUCCUCACUGCAGCUGGAAUCCAGUGGGAUGGAUGCCUUUAAACACAGCACUAAUGCCUAAACCCAUGCCUAGAGAUUUUGACUGAAUAAAGAAUUCAGCCUUGGACCUAACUCAGUGCCUGAUGCACAUUGGAGUUAGUAUCCUGUGUGCAGUGAUUUAGAAAGGCUGGUUGGAAUGCUUGAGUUGUGAAAAGUUCUUGUGUUUGAUCACAGCCUGUGUUUCAAGUCACCUGGAGAAUGUUUGAAAUGCAGUAAAUAUGGUCUGAGUUCCUUAAUACCCCAUGAAGAUUUGCAUGGUGACUUUGUUACCAACAGGCUUUCCCCAAAAGAACCAGUAGGAUUUUUCUGUGAGGUUUUCAGGAGCAUAGAUAACCUGCAAUAAGAUCAUUGAGGAAUGGCAUAUUAAAAAGCUGGGGGGGGGGGGGCGUAGAAAGAUGGCUGAGGAGUUAAGAGUGCUUGCUGCUCUUGAAGAGGAUCCGAAUUCAGUCCCCAGCACCCUUGACAGAUGGCUCACAACUACCUGUAACUCUAGCUCCGGAGGACCUGAGCCUCCCGCCCCCACCCCCGCACCUGCAUGAAUUAGCAUAUACCCCUACACAGACGCAUUUUAUUUGAAAAGGCAGUGAGAGUCUGGAGUGUGGUGGGUCAUUCCUGCAAUUCCAGCCUCGUAGGGAGGAUCGCUGGCCAUUGGAGGACAGUCUGGCCUGAAGUGUAGAACCCUGUCUCCAAACAGGAGGAGAAUGGAAUGCUCAUGCUGGCGUGGGUGUCGAGUGUGGAUCCCCCACACUUUUCAUUCCUGUGCUUUGUUUUCUUUCUCCAAAGAAAACUCAGAAUCUCCAAGCCGACUGUUAACACCUCCACUCUUUGAUUGUGCCUGACUGUUAUAGGCAACUUUAUAAUCCUGACCACAAUGAUCAGUACUUACGUGGCCGAGCCAUUUCUGAUUCACACAUCUGGAACUAGAGGCUGACUGUCCUUGUGGGUGCAUGAGGUGGGGUGGGACUACGGUUGUGCCCUCUGCAGCUGGCCAGUACACUCCUUGCACACUUCUGCCCGCACAGCUUCUCUCUCUCUCUCUUUUUUUUUUUUUUUAAGAUUUAUUUAUUUAUUAUGUAUACAGUGUUCUGCCUACAUGUAUGACUGCAGGCCAGGAGGGUAUCAGAGCUCAUUACGGAUGGUUGUGAGCCACCAUGUGGUUGCUGGGAAUUGAACUCAGGACCUCUGGAAGAGCAGCCAGUGCUCUUAACCAUCUCUCCAGCCCCAUCUCACAGCUUCUCUUGCUCAGUGCUGCCCGGCAGAGCUGGUUGAGCCCCACCCCAGCCUUCUCAUGGCUACUUGUUGGGGUAUAGUUAGUCACCUGUUAGGAAGCUGGUAAAAGUUUUUGACUCCUGUUGCUUUAAAUUUUUUGAAAAGUGGUAUCUUAUUUUACUUUUAUAUUUGUUCUUAAAAGACUUGACAUUUGGAGUGGGUUAGUACCUCCCGGAUUUGUUGAGAGGAAGGACAUGAAUGUUGGGACUGUGUUGACUGUGUGUCUUAAGUGACUGACCCACUGAAAAGGGUAGUUGGAAUUUUCCUUUGUCAAGUCUGACGGUCUUUCUGCCGUUUUAGGGGGAAUGUGUAGUACUGCACAUGGAGGCAGAAGCUAACCUCUGCCCAGCCCAAGGCGUUGAACCAGAGGGGAAGUGGUUGUGGUUGGCGCCUGCUGGGAGCAGAGCCUUGCCGAGCUGUGACUGCCCCGUGGAAUUACUCUGCUGCUGUGGUUCUUAUGGGUGACCAGGAAUUUGGACUCGGUUGGUUUGCUGUACUGGAGCCAGGGAUUCCUUUGUUUUGUUUUUUCUUGAGACAGGAUCUCACACUGUAGCCCACGCUGGCCUUAAAUCCACUAUGAUCCUCCUACUUGAGCUCUCCAUGCUGGGUUUACACCACCUUGUGAGCUCACCUUGCCUGGCAAGCCAGGGAAUCUUCUUGUUUCUGUGAAUAGAGAAUGUUGGAGAAUCAUGAAAUUUUGUUGUUAAACCAUUAAAGUCUUGGUAAUGAAAAUCACCCAGAAUAAACAGACCGUUUUGUAUCUGCAGUAGGAAAAACUGCCGAGUUUUGAAGGUUUUAUUUUUGCUGUUGGCAGUUCUCAAUGAAACAAUGAAUAUACAUUCAAAGACAGCCUUAAAGGUCAGCUUUACUUUGUGCUGCUGGCUGGGGGGCCCUGCACCAACUCUUAUGUUCCUAGUGGUUCCCAGGCUGAUAGCAGGCCUUCUCUAGGGACAGUCUCACAUGUCACUAGAAAGUCUCUACCUGGUUUGAAGCAGUUGGUUCUGACUAAUUCAGGGGCCACUCCCUGGAAUGUGGGGGGAGGCGACUAGGCACCUUAACACUCUUCUCAUUGACCUUCACAAGUACAGCCCUCUGUCUCCAGAGAUGUGGGUCAAAAUGGUUUCCUUCUGUCCCAGCCUGCAGGAAGUCCAGAGCUCAAGGUCUGUGUCUUGUGUGAUUCAGUUGUUCCAAGUCCAUGUGAUAAGGCCGUGGCUGUAAAGUGUCAGUGUGCACCGCAAAAGACAAUAAUGGAGAGAGGGGACACCUGUAUCUCUGUCACUAACUCAGCCUCUCCCUGUGAAGAUAGCCAAUCUCAGGUGUCCUGAGGUGUCUCCGGGCAUGUAGUUCUAGAACCUGGGGGUACUAAAUUCCUCAGAUGUUCAGGUCCUCCUUGUAAAAUAUGCACGCUCUAUACACAUCCUUUCUUAUUCUGUAAGUUAUCUGUAACUCCCUGACACUGUCUAAUGAAAUGUAAAUGCCCGUAAAGAGUUAAGUUGUUAGGGGACAAUAAAGUAUGCACAGUACAGACAGGUUAAAGAAUUCUCUCAGUUGAGGGUUGCUUGAAUCUGCAGUGUGAAAGUCCUGGUUAUGGAGGGCCAGCUACCCUGCAGCACUGGCAAUUUCCGGGAUGGGGGAGAUGAAACUCUUGUUUGUUGAAAUCCUGCUAGUACCAGGCUCUAGAUGAGUUCUGGUACUUGCCCUUAACAAAAAUCUACAUAGAAGCUGGCAAGAUGGCUCAGUGGGAAAGGAAAGCAUUUGCAGUGUGAGCCAGACAUCAUGAGUUCAGUCUCUGGAACCCAUGUAAAGGACAUGUCAAAGCUGUCCUUGACCUCCACACACGAUGAUGCACACACACAUGUCUACAGACACACGUCAUAUGACAGUAAUGAUAAGUCUAUGUAGAUAUCCCGUUACAUGUGACAGAAGCUGUUUGGAGUGGUUAAGCUCUUUCCAGGAUCACACUGACGCAUGUGACAGACAGGGAAUUUGCAUGACCCCAAUCCCUGCUUUCUGGCUCCUGGUUCACUGCCUCACUCCUUUUUCAUUUUGUCCUUCCCUAAAGGAGAAAGUAUUUUCUUCUGUUAGCGGCCAGAGAAUGAAGGACUCUUCACAGAGUACUGGAGAGUUCUGCGGAAGGGGCAGUGUGUGCACCUGUGCCCGGCUUCUCCGUGGAGAGCAGAGCCAUGGGACAGCAGCUACAGAAGGCCCCACCCUCUGCCCCCGGUACUUAGAAGACUCCUGGCUGCGGAACACUGAUGGGCAUUUACUGUCUCGUUUGUAGGGAAGCCCACCAUCUCCUCAGAGAGUGAACUGCUUGUGCCUUUUUCUCAAGGAAAGGAGGCAGAGGAAGAGAGACCAGAGGUGGCUCUAGAGAGCAGGCACGUUAUCCUGAUUCGAGAAGAGUGACUGGCCCGCUUCCUCUCCUACCGAGGACAGUGUCCCCUGGUUGGUUUGGACACUGACACGGGAGUCUACAGCUGCAAGGAGGCGGCCCUGAAAAUAGGACUUAACAUUAUUGUUUAGUGUAUAAGGAGAGUUAGGGGCUGGAGAGAUGGCUCAGCGGUUAGGAACACUGACUGUUCUUCCAGAGGUCCUGAGUUCAAUUCCCAGCAACCACAUGGUGGCUCACAACCAUCUGUAAUGAGAUCUGGUGCCUGCACAUCUUCUGGCCUGCAGGGAUACAUGCUGUAUACAUAGUAAAUAAAUAAAUCUUUUUAAAAAAAAAAAAAAAAGGAGAGAGAGAGUUAGAGACCAUGCCAUAUUUGUUUUUCCUCAUGUUCUUUUCACCUGAAGAAGUCUGAUACAGAGUGAGGUCAGAGCGAGGAAAGCUGUGAAUGGCUGACUAGGUUUCGAUAGCAAGUUAAUGGCAAGGCCAUGGUAAUGGCGAGGCCAAGGCAACAGCUCAGUGCUUUAGAAAAAGCUAGUCUGUACCAAGUGAGUUCCAGGAAAGGCGCAAAGCUACACAGAGAAACCCUGUCUCGAAAAACCAAAAAAAAAAAAAGAAAAGAAA
Peromyscus maniculatus bairdii (prairie deer mouse) is the source of this 5386-nucleotide non-coding RNA. The record is from RefSeq and is a predicted model, not a curated record. NCBI's taxonomy places the organism in Eukaryota, Metazoa, Chordata, Mammalia, Rodentia, Cricetidae.